Molecule: ribosomal RNA, 316 nt
Filed under: uncultured eukaryote
Lineage: Eukaryota
Description: partial 18S ribosomal RNA
Rfam family: Eukaryotic small subunit ribosomal RNA
Source: RNAcentral
CCCUUAGAUGUUCUGGGCCGCACGCGUGCUACACUGACCGGCGCAACAAGUUUCUUUCCUUGGCUCGAUAGGCCUGGGUAAUCUUUGAACGCCGGUCGUGAUGGGGAUAGAUCCUUGCAAUUUUUGAUCUUCAACGAGGAAUUCCUAGUAAAUGCGAGUCAUCAUCUCGCGUUGAUUACGUCCCUGCCCUUUGUACACACCGCCCGUCGCACCUACCGAUUGAAUGGUCCGGUGAAGCCUCGGGAGUGCGAAUGCUUCGUGCGGACGCGAGAACUUGGCUAAACCUUACCAUUUAGAGGAAGGUGAAGUCGUAACA